AUGCAUCAUGAUCAUCCUAACGAGAUAAGGGAUGGGCAGCUGGUUUACAUUGAGAGGGUGGCCGGCGUCGCUAUGCUCGAAAGAGAUGGUAAGGUAGAGAACUGCCACGAGGCCGCUUUGGCGGGCAGUCAUGGAACAACAAAAGGAGACAACUACCUCAGACAUGAUCCGGUUUUUCUGCCUACGAACAUGGCGAACACCCACUGGUUCCUUGUGGUCGUAAACCCCAGAAGGAGGGAGAUUCAGAUUCUUGAUUCACUUUUCGGCUACCUAGAACGCACACAAGUGGUUCAUGUGAUACGUGGGGUGGAAGCACAUCUGAGAGCAUCUCUACGAAUCAAUGGACCACAAAGCCAUGCAUGGCAAGAAAUUAACGUGACCCAAUGGACAGUAAAGCAUUUCUUCUUGUGCACUCUACAUGCUGAAGAACAUCGAAUUCUUUAUGGGAGAAGAUCUUAG
RNAcentral lists this ribosomal RNA (459 nucleotides) under Triticum aestivum (bread wheat). Its description in RNAcentral is "partial small subunit ribosomal RNA". The record is from RNAcentral. Lineage: Eukaryota; Viridiplantae; Streptophyta; Magnoliopsida; Poales; Poaceae.